Cinara cedri is the source of this 477-nucleotide non-coding RNA. NCBI's taxonomy places the organism in Eukaryota, Metazoa, Arthropoda, Insecta, Hemiptera, Aphididae. The record is from the annotation of a GenBank genome assembly.
CGCGAGCGAUCAAUUGUCGCGAUACACCGCCGCCGCCGAGUUAGUUAACCGCGUUUGACGGGUGUCCUAAAAAUGUAUAUACAGGGUGAUCGAUCCUCGGUACGACGUUCGUUCUGUCGAAAAGUACAAGCUUUUUCGGAAUUAUUUCGAAAGAAAUAAGCGGCUCUGAAAUGUUACAUUGCCGUUGUAUUUUGUCACCCUUGUUUUCGAGCGCGAGAACCCCAAUUGUUUUUCGAAUAGCGACUGGUAUCGAAAAUCAAACAGAUAGACGAUUACGAUUAGUUCAAAUGCAAAUUCGGUGUUGAUACGUACAAUUGCCGUCAACCCGUCGACGAGAUGAUGUUCUCCGCGUGUACGUUUGGGCUGGGGAAAAGUAGUGGAACGUCAUUCGUACGAAUACUGCUCCGCUACUGGAUCCCCCUAUCCGAACUCAAUAGCAGAAUAUCUCGUCGAUGAAAAUUAUUAUAAACGUCAGCG